This 531-nucleotide ribosomal RNA is filed under the name Phalanta phalantha. RNAcentral's name for it is "partial 16S ribosomal RNA". It matches the Rfam family "Bacterial large subunit ribosomal RNA", at positions 1809 to 2609 of the family's 2925-position model. Lineage: Eukaryota; Metazoa; Arthropoda; Insecta; Lepidoptera; Nymphalidae. The record is from RNAcentral.
AAAAACAUGUCUUUUAGAAAAUAAUUUAAAGUCUAAUCUGCCCACUGAUUAAAAAUUAAAGGGCUGCAGUAUAUUGACUGUACAAAGGUAGCAUAAUCAUUAGUCUUUUAAUUGAAGACUUGUAUGAAAGAUUUGAUGAAAUGUAAACUGUCUCUAAAUUAUUUAUAGAAAUUAAUUUUUUAGUUAAAAAGCUAAAAUUUAUUUAAAAGACGAGAAGACCCUAUAGAGUUUUAUAUAAAAGAUAAUUAAAAUUAAAUAUCUAAUUAUAAAUUAAAAUUAUUUUUUAUAUUUUAUUGGGGUGAUAGAAAAAUUAAAAUAACUUUUUUUAGUAAUAAAACAUAGAUAAGUGAUUAUUUGAUCCAAAUUUGUUGAUUAAAAGAAAAAAUUACCUUAGGGAUAACAGCGUAAUUUUUUUUUUUAGUACAAAUAAAAAAAAAAGGUUGCGACCUCGAUGUUGGAUUAAGAUAAAAAUUAAAUGCAAAAGUUUAAAUUUUUGAUCUGUUCGAUCAUUAAAAUCUUACAUGAUCUGAG